AACCUUAUGGACCUGCGGGCGUAUACCUGCGGAAGGAUCAUUACAGAGUUGCAAGACUCCCUAAACCAUUGUGAACCUACCUUCUACCGUUGCUUCGGCGGGCGGGCCCAGCGCCCCCCCGGCCCCCCGCGGGCGCCCGCCGGAGGAUACCCAAACUCUUGACAUUAGUGGCCUCUCUGAGUAUUCUUUACUGAAUAAGUCAAAACUUUCAACAACGGAUCUCAGAUCGGAAGAGCACAC
Molecule: unclassified non-coding RNA, 240 nt
Filed under: soil metagenome
Description: partial contains 5.8S ribosomal RNA, internal transcribed spacer 2, and large subunit ribosomal RNA
Source: RNAcentral